GCUAUCGCGCAACUUCACGACUUCACGUGUCAUAUGGCGACGGCGUACACGUUGGCGAACGUCGCAACGAUUGUAGAACGUCAUUGAGAGCCGCUGGACACGUCGAGAUACAUUUUCGUAGAUAAGUACGCAUACAAGUGUUGUGUUGUCGUGAGCUCUCAACUCGUCUCAUAUUUCUUCUACCUGCUUCUAACUCUUGUUGAGGGCAUUAGACGUGCGAGAACGAUGGCGCCGAAACAACGGAUGCGCAUCGCGAACGAGAAGGCGACGAAAAACAUCACGCUACGUGGAAACGUCCCCAAGUCGUCGAAAUCGCAAGAGGAGGGAUCUCCAGUUGGACCUUGGCUCUUAGCUCUGUUUCUCUUUGUUGUUUGUGGAUCUGGUUGUCUUGAGAUGUCAUAAACCUGGUCUUAUUAGCAUCUAAGACAUUACUUAAGACGAUCUUGAAAUAAGAAGACUUAGAAGACUAUGCCGUGUUUCAAAUCAUCCAGAGUAUCAGAAUGGCUUGAAGAUGAAGAAAGAGAAGAUGCUACUGUUGAUAUUAUUACGACAAACCAUUUACAAUUCGUUGAUAUUCGAAGGAGACUGACAAACCGUUUUAAUGUAAAUUAUAAAGAAGAUUACAGAUUACGAGAGAACAUGGCAAAAUUUAGACAGUAGCUGAAAAAUUAUUUUCCUUUUGCAGAAGAAGCUCAAAGAUUUAUUUAUAACAUUUAGCAUUUAUACAAACGUUUAACUUAAUUGCGCUACACAUAGAUGAAGGGAAAAUGCUCGAAUGUACAAAAUAAAUAUUGUCCCAAAAAACAAUAUAUCUAUGAAACUUAAUGAAUCGAGAAAGAGAAAAUUAUUUAUAUUGAAUUUCUUAUUACGCUUCCAACAUAACGUUUCCGUUAAUGUGUGUUAACGAAAAUGUCUAUGUAAUUUUUAUUCACAUGUAUUCUUUCGUCUAUGUGUAUGUAGUAAAUAAUUGUAUAUAUACACACACGAAUGAUUUUAUCACGCAGAUUUCUCUUCAAACAGAUCUGCCCAAUAGCAUGUAAAGCUCAACUCCAAUGAUUGGACAGAUCUGUUUUAAAGCAUUCCACUGUAAACAGUUGGUAGCUUUCUGUUGUAAUGGCCUUUGAACGAUGCUUUUGUGUUAUGAGGUCGUUAUAUACAUAUACAAAUAUAUAUUAUACAUCUCAAAAAAUGAUUUGUGUAUAUGAAAUAUUUGCU
This is an RNA transcript of Atta colombica, 1215 nucleotides long. It is a transcript of the gene named stress-associated endoplasmic reticulum protein 2, with no coding region annotated. The record is from RefSeq and is a predicted model, not a curated record. The transcript is spliced from 4 exons. NCBI's taxonomy places the organism in Eukaryota, Metazoa, Arthropoda, Insecta, Hymenoptera, Formicidae.